CUGAUGAACUCUCUCCUCCCCUCUCCCCCGGACGCCCGGGUAUCUCCCUCUGGCAACUUUGCCGCCGCGACUUUCUCCGCUGUCAGGCCACACGAAAGUGUCCGAGCACCUCGCAGACGGCAGCGAGGGAAAUGGCCCUUAAAAGUGCGACGAGGUGGGGGAAGAGGUGCAAUUAUUAUUAUCAGCAUCUAGAAAGCAUCAUGCAUUGUUCUUACUGGAUCUUCCUAUCAAUGAACAUUAUGGAAGUACCAAUACAGCAUCAAGUCCUUCCUGGAUGGAAAGUUUUCAAACUUCUUCAUUUGGAAUUACUUAAACAUUAGGAUGUUGGGAUUUUUGAUGAUGCCUUCCUUAUGUGGAUUACUACAGUUUGGUUACUGGGAAUUCUCCACCUCAGUGAAGAUUACUUUGCUAUCUGGGAACUCAUGCCCACCUCUUUGACUUCGGGUCAAAAUUGCUUUCCUCACGGUCUGACUGGGAAAGUUGUAAAACAUUAGAAUGUCCUUCAGCGGUGGGCUGUGGAA
This is a non-coding RNA of Leptonychotes weddellii (Weddell seal), 521 nucleotides long. Lineage: Eukaryota; Metazoa; Chordata; Mammalia; Carnivora; Phocidae. The record is from RefSeq and is a predicted model, not a curated record.